GUAGACGAAAAAACCACCCUGGCAGGUGGUUUUUCGAAGGUUAAAUAAUCCUGGCAGAUUAUUUAACCGUGGUAACAGGGUGUACAAGACCGCUGCCACCAAAUCUGUCCUUUCAGUGUAGCCGCAGUUGGUCCUUCACUUCAAGAACUACGUAUCAGCAAUUUCUUGUACAUCCUCUACCAGUGGCUGCUGCCAGUGGCGUUAAGGCGUGUCUUACCGGGUUGGACUCAAGACGAUAGUUACCGGAUAAGGCGCAGCGGUCGGGCUGAACGGGGGGUUCGUGCACACAGCCCAGCUUGGAGCGAACGACCUACACCGAACUGAGAUACCAACAGCGUGAGCUAUGAGAAAGCGCCACGCUUCCCGAAGGGAGAAAGGCGGACAGGUAUCCGGUAAGCGGCAGGGUCGGAACAGGAGAGCGCACGAGGGAGCUUCCAGGGGGAAACGCCUGGUAUCUUUAUAGUCCUGUCGGGUUUCGCCACCUCUGACUUGAGCGUCGAUUUUUGUGAUGCUCGUCAGGGGGGCGGAGCCUAUGGAAAAA
This 541-nucleotide unclassified non-coding RNA is filed under the name Escherichia coli. RNAcentral's name for it is "RNA II". The record is from RNAcentral. Lineage: Bacteria; Pseudomonadati; Pseudomonadota; Gammaproteobacteria; Enterobacterales; Enterobacteriaceae.